Molecule: long non-coding RNA, 10251 nt
Filed under: Brassica napus (rape)
Lineage: Eukaryota; Viridiplantae; Streptophyta; Magnoliopsida; Brassicales; Brassicaceae
Description: long non-coding RNA (BNAP_LNC026940)
Source: RNAcentral
AUGGUUCGGCUCAAAUUCGCAUGUCCGGUCCUCGAAAUCAACUUAAUCUCAGCACAAGACCUAGCCCCUAUCUCAAAAAACAUGAAAACAUACUCCGUCGCGUGGAUCAACACCGAUCCCAUGCGUAAACUCACGACGCGUGUGGACCAAGCUAACCGAGCUAACCCUAUCUGGAACGAGAAGUUCGUGUUCCGCGUAGACGACAAGAUCCUCGACGUCGACGCGUCGUCGAUAGUCAUCGAGAUAUACGCGGCGGCUUGGGCCAAAGACGCGCUCGUCGGGACCGUGAACGUUCUCCUCAGCGACCUCUUCGCUCCCUGGUCCGGCUUCGGAGACGGAGACGACGGCGGCGGCGGGAACAACAACAUGAGGCUCGUGACGCUUCAGAUCCGCCGCCCUUCCGGGAGGCUUCAAGGCUUUUUGCGUUUAGGCGUCGCGCUUCUCGACGGCGGUCAGAGGAGUAUGCCGUUGUCGGUCGAGGUUUUUGAUGGAAGUCGGAGAGAUAGUAAGAGAGAUGAUGCGAAGAUGAUGCAUCGUCGUACGAAUAGCGAUCAGACGGAUUUAACUACGUCGACUAAUGAUUACGGAGUGAAGACAGGGGUUGUUAGUGGAGGAGGUGGUAGUGGUGGAGGAGGAGGAGGAAUCGUCCAUGAAAAAAAUCAUACCUUUUGCUUUAAAAUUUUCAAGAGAAAAAAAAACAGAACACAGACCCAACCAAUUGAAGAGAAACAGCAAAUAAUCAUUUUAAGCUGAUUCAAAAUCUUGAGAUUAUACUUUCUUAUCCUCCAUGAACCAAUACCACAUCAACAAGAGACAAUAAAUGAACAUAAUCAGCAAAUAUAAUGACUUUAAGCUGAGCUAAAAACAAAAAUCAAUAACAGAUCAAACGGACAAUUAGUUAGUGUUCAUUUCUCUUCCCUCCACAAAUCAUAAAGAACAAAAAACCAAUCAGCUAACUCUCUGAAGAGACACACACCGAUGUCUAAGAAUGCCGACAGUGAGUAAAUGGAUUAUAGAAUCUCCUCACAACCAAAAAAAGGAAAGAAAAAGACAGAAUCUUCUUACCCGACCAAGCAACACAGCAUCCAAUACCAAAAGGGCUUUUAAUCCUUGAAUGAUUGAACUAAACCAAAAAAAAUUGUCUUUUUAAGUAUUUGUCUUCUCGAUUUUCCCAAACAAAACAAAACUAUUUUUCUCUUCCUGAAUUAUUUGAGAAGACUAUAAAAGGAGAUUCAUGUAGAGCAGAGCUGCAGAGUCAAUCAAUAGAUGUUUCUCUGCCGUAGAGGAUUACGAAAGGCCGUGUUUUAAAAUGAAGCGUAUGGGGUCCAUCUGAUGUUUGCUUCUAUUUUGAUUGGUCGAGUGUUGCUCGGUGCUUAUAACGUCAAGGCACUACCCAAUAUUCAUUUUUAGACAUUUUCAUAAUGUUUGACCUAACCUAGUAGUAGUUUUAAAUUUGUUUGAUUUAAUUGAUCUUCUAUUAACAUUAUACAAACUCUGAUCGACUGAAAGUGAUAGAAGAAAAUUAUUUAAAAUAUUUUUAUUCCACCAAUACCCAAUCCUGUUGUUAGUACACGAGGCUAGAGCAUAUAAUUAGGCCAUUUUACAGGUUCAACUAAAGAAAAUAAUACAGAGAACGUAAUAAUAAUUCAUCAUUCCGCAUCGUAUUGGGCUUUUAUUGGGCCGAUCAGACUCGUUGUAACUCGAGUAUUAAAAGUUUAUUUUGGGCUGAAAACUAUACUUAUAGAGAAUCAAAGCCCGAACUAAACCAGAGGAAGAACAAUUCUUGUUAAGUGCUUAUAACCAGAUUAACCGAACCAAACCAGAGGAAGAACCGGUCCACAUACUAUUGUUUGAUUUUGACACAGAAAUUAAAAUCUCACAGGCAAAAUUAAAUGUUGAACAAAACCAUAAUUACUAGAAUCACGAUUAAGGCAUAACACAAGUCUAAGACAAAAACAAAACAUCCUCAACAGAGGUUUGAUAAAACGUUCAAGCAACACAAAAGAGAGAUAGAACUUAAACGAUGGCGUUAGCAGCACUAGCGAUCCUUGGCCACAGGUCGGCACACUCCUUCCCGAUUGGUCCAGUGAUAGCAGAUCCUACACAUUACACACAGACAUUCAUCAGCUACCAAAGAUAACACGAUUAACUCAAAAUCAAAUAAACACGAUGUUAUUACCUUUCAUUUCACCCUUGGGAUUGACAAUGACACCAGCAUUAUCUGCAAUCAACCACACCAACUUUCAUUAGACUUCAAACAAUAAUAGACAGACAGAUGAAGAUAUGAUUAAAAUGAUUACCCUCGAAGUACAUGAAGACACCGUCCUUUCGGCGCCAUGGCUUCCUCUGCCUAACAAUGACAGCUGGCAGCACCUUCUUACGUAGAUCAGGUUUACCUUUCUUCACGGUAGCCAUGACCAUGUCACCAACACAGGCGGAUGGGAGACGGUUGAGACGACCCUUGAUACCUUUGACGGAGAUGAUGUAGAGAUUCUUGGCUCCGGUGUUGUCAGCACAGUUCACGGUGGCUGCCACUGGAAGACCCAGUGACAUCCUGAACUUGUUUCCAGAGGUUCCUCCUCUUCCUAUUAACAAUCGAAACAAAACAUUACAGAUGAGCAACACUAUUAAACAAUAAACAAAAAUAUUCCAAAUGAGAAACACUAUAAAUCAACCUAAGUAACAGACAUAUCGUUAAGAUCUCAACAUAUGAUUCGUGACAAAGUUUAUAUACGUAAUCCUUGAAACUAAUCACAAUCACGGCAGUACACAUUGAUGGUAACGCAGAUUCAGCUUUAUAAACGACAAUCAAUCAUGAAAGGUGCUAAUCACUAGAUAUUCAUUAUGAGAGGACAAGGUAGCACAAGCGAGCAUAUGAAUAAAAGUCUUGACAAAAGGAAGAGAUUGUUACCUCGCUUCGACAUGGUUGCAGCUCUCGUUGGGAAGAGCUCGACGGCAGUGAGGAGGCGGUAUAUAAGUUGUUAUGCUAGGGCUUACUACAACUAUUUCAUGCUGACCUGGAUAGUGAUUAUGGGCCCUGAGAAGCUUACCCAUAAGCCCAAUAGUGUAAUACAGAUUACAAUCUAUUAUGGGCCCGAAAAGCAUACUAAUGAGGCCUAUAAUGCAAUACUCCUAUUUCUCAAUUAUCUUCACUCUAAUCUCGAACAAUGCAUCAUCAUUGUCAUAAAGUAAUGUGUUCUUAUUCAGAUUAACCAUCAUGUAGUACAAUUUAGACUCUAGAACUCUUAAAAAGGAGACAUGACCAAUUUAUUUCUUUAAAGAAGACCUUAAUGUUAAUAUAUUUGACAUUAAUGAAAUCUCUAGAACAAACCAACCAUUAACAAUGAGUUUCUUUGGUUACCCAACAUAACUCUUAUUCGUGUCUAAACAAUCUUUUGUCAGCUAACUGAGAAGAAUCUGCUCAGUUCACAUAAUCCUACCUAAAGAAAGGGGAUAUUUCUAAGUGAAGAGGUGUGGCGAACAUAAGACUUCUCUCUUGAACUUAAGCAGAAGCAGCUCAGGAUGGAUCAAAGUGUAUGUGUGUUAUUAUGUUUUACUCUGAUGUUCAGCCUCAUUUUCUUUUUAAUGCCAUCGCUUUGGAACCUGCGUUACAAGAUUUUGCAGGUAUUAGUAAACACCCAACGACUAAAUGAAUCAUUCACAAAUCAUAAUGGGAUCAAAAGCUUUAGAGAGGACAAACUAUGACAACUGAUGCCUAUCUUGUCUCAAGACUAGAACAAUUUACUCACCUGCUUGUUUUUUAGCAGGAACAGCCUUUCUUCUUUCUCCUGACUUGCCUCCAGAUCCUGACAUAUGUCCCACCAUAAUGCAUAAUUAGCCAUGAAAACUCAGUUUUCUUUGAACCAAUGUAUUUUACGAAAUGUUCGGAUCUCUUACCGAACAAAACAUGUUCUAACUUAGAAUCUGUGUGCAUACAAAGGAUGCAAGCCAAUGCUCUGUCGUAAAGAUUUGAAUAACGAAGGCAAUGUGUAAAGAUAACUGACCUUUUGGCUUUUUGUCUCUGCAUAAUUCGCUUCCGCAGCAACAUCUAAAUGCCUUCACGGGAUGACUUUCAUCAUGGAAAUCUAUCAAGUAAUCCUGCGCAUUCAAAAAACACGGGUUAUUUGAACGGAGUAUGUGUACAACUCAAGAGUAAAUAACAUUACGUGUUUGGUCCAGCUCGUUCGUGGAGUCAUAUACAAACAAAGCAGAUAUAUAUAUAUAAAAUGGCAAAAUCAAUAUCAUGUCUAGUUGUUUAGCUUCAGUGACAUAUCCACAGUUGCGUGCUUACCCAUGUCAGUUCAUCCAUGGCCUUCACGUCUCGAAUGGUAAAAAAGGCAAUCUGCACAUGACCAAACCCAAAAUCCUUAAGCUCGCUGAAAACUUACUUUAACAAUCAGUGCCUUGAUCAUGUUAAGAGUGGCGAAAUCAUAUACUUACAUGAUAAUAAUGUCUGUCAGGAGUCUCUAUUUGUACCGGAAUAUCAAUCAAGUUUGCAUCCUCACAUCUGCAUCAACAGUAGAGUUCAUAAGAAGAUAAAGCACGAAAGAAACAAAGCAUAAUGAGAGUUGAUUGGUACUACCUGUGAUUGACAAAUCUAGCGACAUUUCCACAGACUGUGGCAUCCAGGCAGAGAGCUUCUUCAUCUUUCAAAUCCUUUUCAGAACCCCAGUCUGCAUCCAGAGUUACAGGAUAUGUAUGCCGUUCACUAGUAGAUCUUAUAUUCCGAUCGUACAACUCCGUAUUGGUCAAUAUUUCACCAAUAUAUUCACAAACAAAGGUUCCUUUCGGCAAGUCUUGCAGUGUUCUAAUACCCCAUCCUUUCCCUUCUUGGGUAAAGUAAACCUGCAACAAAUAUUUUACUAGUCAAACAUCACAAGACAUGAAGCAAUGGUCGGCAUAAAAGAACUAAAGUAGCAUGUUACCUGGAGUUGGCACCUUAUCCCUCUCUGCACCACUCGAUUCCCACACAUCAUAUCACAUCCACACUUUCUCCAACACUCCUUAAUAAACUUCCUAAUCAAAUGUCCUUCACACUUCCCAUCAUCUCUCUCCAAAGGGCAGUCUUGGCAGUAAAACUUACUGAAGCUAUCAGGCGCCUUCUUCAUCUUAAGACAAGUAUCCAAAAACUCCUCCUUUAACAACCCAUCUUUACUAUACGCAUACUCUCCGCCGGUUUCACGAGCACAAGCACACGGAAAGUCCGCUGAAAGACAGUCCCCCUUACAGCUCGCGCAACAAUCGUCAUCAGAAAUUCUAGCCAGAGACACAUGGACAUAAGCACUUUGGUAAACAAUGUUGUGAGGGAUGUAAGUAAACUUGGGGACUUGCUCAGUCCCAACCUCAUCAACCAGAGAUAUCUCAACGCUCUCUGAGCCUUUCGUGAUGUCACGAAUAAUCGUUUUAUACUUCUUCUUGCGAACAACACCGUUGCUAGGAUGCUUCUGAGCUUCCUCAGUGGACGAGCCUGAGGCUGCGGAACGGGUUUCGUAUUUUCUUUUCAGAGUAGCAGGAGAGUCAGUGCCCACAACAACAUUCUUCCCUUGCUUCUUCAGAGCACCACUAGGAGGAGAGUCAAAGACAUGCUUCCCUCUAGUGCCGUUAGAUAAAGUUUCGUUUUUUUUCUUAUCCUCUUCUUCUUCUUCUUGUUCUUCGUCGAGAGAGUAGAUAGCGUCGAUCAAUGCGGUGUAGUUAUCAAGUUUGAUGAGAGUCCAAUUCUCACCGUUCUCUUGGAGAAGCUUCUUAAGCACUGAGAGUGUCUUCUCAUCGGGGAUUUUUAGUUCUCUUGUUGUCUCACAAGCUUUGCGUACUCUCUCGUCAGUGAGAAUCAAAGGCUGCAUAUCGAGAUCACCUCUACACACCAAACUUUUUAAGCAAAAAAAAAAUUAAUAAAAAAUUAUCACUAUUAAAAUCCAAUUAAGUUAUCAACAAUCAAAGCAUAUUCUCACUAAAUCGAAUAAGCACGGAAACAAAUCUCAAUCGAUUCGAUUCGAAUGCAGAAACAUCAUCAAAUCAACGAGGAGAAAAGUUUCCUAAAAAUUUGGAGUUUGAAGCCUAAAUAAAUCCAAAAAAAUCGCCGAAUCGCGAAACUAAUACAGAGAGAGGCCUAAAGUAAUCGUAGAUUCCGUAAGAGAUCACAUUGAGAGCUUGCAGAGAAGGAAGGAAAGAAGAACCUCUCAGUGGUUAGUUGGGGGGGAGAGUGAGUAAUUGAAGCGGAAGCUUCUCGAAUUGAAUUGAAUUGCAUGCAGAGAGAGGAGAUCGAACUUUGUGUGAGACUUUGAAAAAGAAAUUAUAAAUUAAAAAAAAAAUAUUACUAAAAAAGUAAAUGGAUCCGAUCAAUUCACAGAGUCAGAGAAUCCGAUUCACGGCGGAGUACACUGUUUGUUUAGAUUUUUUCUUCUUUUGUCUUUCUUACUGAAGAGACUGUGUUUAUUAUGUUUUUAGGCCCAUUUACCUGAGAGGCCCAAAUAAAAUCUUUUCUUUUAAAACGGCGUGGUAUUGAACUCAAAUUUGGAUUCUGCCGAACCUACCCAACAUCGGUUAAGGUCACAUUUAAUUAGACUACAAUUUCCAGUUAAUUUGGAUUUAUAUAGUUCAGUUGACCACAAGCGCCAUUUAUCAAUGGACCACAUAAGUUAUUCUCCUAUGUUUUUGAAACAACUUAAUGACUAUCUCACGUCUAUGAACUUCUAGUUAAUAGGAUAGUAACAAGUGGAUGCCAUAAUCUUUCCACAAGUUUUUUCAGAAUUUAUAUAAGUGUUGAAAGAUUUAUAUAUAAGGUGACAUAUAUAACUUUUACGGAAAAUUAUUAAUCAAAUACAAAUAUUUCACAUUAUUAUAUCAUCUCACUAUUGUAAUAUUCCCAACCGAAUUUGAAAGCUUUCAUUGUGAAGCAAAUGGUAAGAAGCAAAAUUUCUUUGGUUGCUUUAACAAAAACAAGGGACCAGCAAAAUUUUCCCAACGUCUCUCCGAUGUAGACCUUCUCUUCAACAAUCUGCAAUACAAAUUUGAAUAUUCCAUCGAUAUUAUUUUAGUUACUCAACUCUUUUUUUAUUUUUUUUUGCUAACAUACUCAACUCAUUUAUCUCUUACUAUAGGUAAUUAGUAGCUAAUUCCUAGCAGUCAUCAUUUGUAACUUUUCUUCAUACCUAUCCCUUGUUUUUUUUGGACAAAUUCUUUAUACCUAUAUUGUUAAACUUCUAAUUUUCAGCUGUAUGAGUAAAUCUCUAUAUUAGAUAAACUUAAAUAAAAGAAGAGUAAUAGAUUAAACGUACCAUCUCCUUUUCUACGCAAGCUCUUGAGGAACAAGAAGAAAAUAGCAACAAAGACCAAAGCCGCGACUCCUCCUACAACUAUCGCCAACGACUUCCCCGUGCUUGUUUUUCCCCUUUCCUCUGCCAAAACAAAAAUAUAUCUUACCAACUUAUAUUUGUUUGAUUAUCUAAGUUCAAGUUCGGAGUUGUUAAAAAAAAAAAGGUUCAAGUUCGGUUUGACUUGAAAACAACUAUUGCAAAUUAAAGUUAUUGUUUAUUGAUUAUAUUUAUAUAUAUAACACAUAAUCCUUAUUUACUCGGUUUGGCUAUACUAAAGUUGAGUAUGUUUUUUAUUUUUUUAUUAUAAAUUUGUUAAUCAGUUUAUAAAUAAUAAAAAAUCGUUUUUGGUAAAUAUUUAUAUUGAAAUAAGUGAUAAUAUUAAUGUGUUGAGACGUAUUUGCAUUUGUACAUAUAUAUACAUGCAUACGUACCGUGGUAUGAAUCACCGGGAUAUUCAUGCGGGUUAUACGUAUACCCAACGUAACACCCUUCCAAGUAUAUUUGACUGGCGGUGGACCACGGACACUCUUCUGCCGCUGUUGCCGCGGCCGCACUGACGCACUCGCCGCAAUCACAGGCUUCAACGUGGCCGUCGCAUUGAGCCACAACGUGCAAGAGCUUGUAGCUUUCCUCGUAGAACCCGUGCCCGUCAACGACUCCUGUUUCGGCAGCUGUGAGUGCCACCGUUCUCAUCUCUUCGAAUCCGACGAGCGUCUCCGCCGUAGCUCCGUCACAUAUCUUGUGGAUGAGACCUCGUUCCGGUGUUUCCAAUAACUUGUAGUUAUGAUGAUUAGCUUCUCCGAAAACGAAAGCAACAAAUAAAUAGUGUUGGAAAAAAAAACUAUAAAAUGUUAUCUAGAUAUAGCAUUUAUAUUUACGUAAAGGUCCAUCUCCUAGCAAAUUCACAUUUAAUAAAUCAUUCAGCCCUUCAGUUUUUACAUCAAACAAAGUUAUUAAAUAUACAAUGUAAUGUAAUACUUACGAGAAGUAGGGGUAUCAACAUGUUCAAUUUCGUACACCAUGUGACAUCCUCGGAGAUGAACCCGAGCUGACGUGGCAUUUCCACACAAUCUAGACGAAAUAUCACGAAGCUCACGAACGCAUCUAUGGCAUAUCUCACUCGGGUAAUCUUCUCUGCAUUGGAACCAUCCCGAGACCGCGUGUUGCUCGUUACCAACUAGAGUCUUAAAGAACUUCGCUCGAGAGGAUUCUGAUUCGAGUUUGCUUAAGAAAGAAUAAAGAGCUUGCGCACGAAGAAGGAGAUUAGGAUUCGAGUAACUUGGAUCUUUUCUGGUUACUUUUUGGAGGAUGUUUGUGUCUGAUGAAUCACAUUGACUGAACACUAGAGUGUCGUAAUCCAACUGGGAUGUGUUAAUGAGAGAGGGAAGAGAGAUGAAGAUUAGGGCUAGGGUUCGUGCGAUAGGAGAGAUCAAGUGGACAACCAUAUUUGAGACAUAUAUUGAAAGAUCAUAAGUUCAUUGAGUAUAUAUUGGUGAAUAGAGAUGGAUGUUGUGGUAGUUUUAGAUAUUGUCUACGUAUCUCUACUUAAAACCCGACCUAUAUAUAUGUCAUCCUGUCUAUUUAUUUGUAUCAUUUGGUUGUGACUUGUGAGGGCAAGUACACGUGAGAUCAUAACCGGUAGAUAUAUUAUAUUAUUAUCACCAGUUUUUGAAUUCGCUACAAAUGUAAAACGCAAUAGUUUGUAGAUAAGACAAUGUUUUCUUUCUAGCCUAACUCUUAUCUAAUCAAUUUCUCAUCGGUCUGAACAAAUUGUAAUAACUUGUACAGUCUGCACUCUUGCAAGUAUCAUAUUUUCAUAAAGGUUUAGAUAGCAGUAAAAAGAUAUUUCCGCUCAACUAAACUGACCUACCAAGGUGGUAGACCCAUAAUGUUAAAAAAAAAAAAGGGUGGUAAACCCAUACACGUUUACAACUAGGGGACAUCUUUGUAAAGUUUAAAUUAUUAUUUAGACCAAUAAUACCAUAUUAUAUACUCUCCAUUUCUAAAAGAUCUAUAUUAUAGUUUUUUACAUUUAAAAAAAAACAUUUAAAAUUAUAUUUUUAAUACAUUGUUUUUCUUAAUUAAUUAUUUUCAAUAACUUUUAACCAAUUGUAUAGCCUGCAUGGAGCUUGUUAUCAGCAAUACCAUUUGAUUUUUUUUUCAAAAAAAGUUAAAUACUUUUCAUGAACAUGAAAUUACGUAAAAUAAAGAAACUAAACGAGCUAGUGAAUCUAGAAAAGGGAUUCGGGAUCAAUAAACGAAAAAGUAAAACCCACGACUCAAUACCAAUAUUCAAGCCGAAACUGAAUCCAAAGCUAAUAAAAAGCAAGGAUAUGUAUACAAAAAAAAAACACUAGAAUUUCUUCAUUAUAAGAAAACUAAAAUUACGAAGGAAAAUAUAAAACUCCUCUAUUCUUUCGUAAAACUCCGUUAAUUCGUUUUACGACAGAAACUUCUUCUCAUUUGUCAGAAAGAUCUUCUGUUUUUUCAUUACAACAAAAAGUCAAAGAGUCAAAGAGUCCUCAACUUUUAUAACCAAUCUUCCGUUGAAAACAGUACGUUAAAUAAAAACCAACGGUCGAGUUCUUAUCAUGUCUAAAAACCACCAGCUCCUCCCUAAUCUCACGCUCCUUCCCUCCUUCCUUUUUAUCCUCCUUCUCAAUCUCUUCUCAACUGAUCGUAUAAUCAUUUCACGAGAGACGAGUGAAACACAAGAAGGUUAACCCUUUCUUGGCUCCCACGCUUCUCGCGAAAGAUUAAACGAAUCCAUUUAGGUUUUUUAGAACACACAAUAAAAAAAAACAUGGUUCGGCUCAAAUUCGCAUGUCCGGUCCUCGAAAUCAACUUAAUCUCAGCACAAGACCUAGCCCCUAUCUCAAAAAACAUGAAAACAUACUCCGUCGCGUGGAUCAACACCGAUCCCAUGCGUAAACUCACG